GAUUUUCAUCAUUAAUGACUGUUAUGCGACCUUGUAUAUUUAGUGGCAACAAAUCUCAGCAGCAUGAAACAGGUAGUACGCAGACGAGGUUGAAUGGUCAAAAGUUUAUCUGUAAAUUUAGAUUUAAAAUCAUAAACACAACAUCGUCGUGUGUGACUCUGUGUAUCUAUUAAUUAUUAAAAAAAAAAGUGCAAGUGAUGGUAAAUAUCAAUUUCGUAAAGUUUGCUGUCGACGCGCAGACCGAAAUUUGUGAGUUUAUAUGGAAAAGCCAUAUCUUUGUGUGUCAUUUUUUUAAUGCUAACGCACCAUGCACUCAACAAAGAAAUUCACUAUAACGAAGAAACAGAUUUCCUUCAAGAAUCCAUCAAACGCUUUGGACCUCCUCGUCCCCUAACUUACGAAAACUGCAGUUUUCCUGGUCCAGAAAUAUCUGCUGAUAAGAACCUUGUCCAAGAAAAUAUAUUCAUUAACGAUGAGUCCGGAAAUUAUACCCUUAAUAUUUGGUUACAGAUUGUGGACAGUUACAGACAAUUUCAGCUAUAACAACCACUACGAAGUUGGAGAAGCUAAGAUCAUCAACAAUGAGAAAAUUAUCACUGUUAAGGGCCAGUUUACCGAGAAAAUUCCACGAAAACAAGGGGGUUUCUUCCUUCGUACAAUUGGUUUUAUCAAUGACGAAAGAAGUUAUCGUUUAUUUUUACUUGAUGUUACGAAAAUUACGAUAGACUUGAAAAAGAAAAUCAGAGAACGAAUUCGUGGAGGAUGUGGAAGACGGAAACGAAGAAGUCCAAUAGACCCAUGUACACUCGCUUCUUUAGUUGGCUAAAUAAGAUAAUAAACAACUUCUUAUGUACUAGAAACUGGAAAAAGUUGCGAUUUUAUUAUAUUAUGUCGAAACCAUAUAUUUGUCUUUUCUAUUAAUGAUG
RNA transcript from Zophobas morio, 926 nucleotides. RefSeq lists it as uncharacterized. The transcript has 3 exons. The record is from RefSeq and is a predicted model, not a curated record. Lineage: Eukaryota; Metazoa; Arthropoda; Insecta; Coleoptera; Tenebrionidae.